Molecule: long non-coding RNA, 1188 nt
Filed under: Neogale vison (American mink)
Lineage: Eukaryota; Metazoa; Chordata; Mammalia; Carnivora; Mustelidae
Description: Neovison vison (American mink) lncRNA (ENSNVIG00000019587.1)
Source: RNAcentral
GGGAGGUCUUUGUUUUCCAUAACCGCCCCUUCCCCCAGAGUGGGAGGCCCGCGCCCGCACCCAAGCCGGCUCCCCCAGCGCGGGCUCGGGGAGGUUGCCGCGCCCCGAGUCCCUCGGGCAAAGUUCAGUACCGCUGCAACUUGCCUGGGGGAAAAAACAAAAAACACUAGUACCCGGCGGGUGAGGGAGAGCAGGUCAGAAGGCAUCGCAGAGAGGCAGAACGGCGAGAUGACGGCUGCGCUGGCGGAGGAGGAGGCCGGUCCCAAAGACCUCCUAUCGCUCAGAGCCCGGCCCGCCCUUACUGAGGACGCCGCCGCCUGGCGCCAGGCCAGAGCAUCGGGGCGACUGUGCUUUCUGAGCGGGUUAUGGGUCCAGUCUUCCAGGCUCCCGUGCCUUCGCGCCAGUUUUUGCUGGUCGAUUGGACAGGGCUCGGGAUGAAUGGCUCGUCCUCACAGCUCUUUGGAAUGAAAGCCACACUUCAACUGUUGACAGCUCCGCUCCCUGGUCCAGGAAUCAGUUUGUUUUCCCGCUUUUCUUAUCAAAUUUCCACAACUGACUUUAGAUUUUUCCUGUGGGUCUCGCACAUGCCCCGAGCAGAUUAUAUUAUUGACUUUGGCAUCGUGGAGGAGAAGGCUACUCAUUUAGCGGUGUGUGGUUGCUUGCCUUAUCUUCCUUCUUGAGAGAUUAGGCGGCGUUAUUCCAUAAUACAUGAAGGCUUUAUUUGUGAGCAGCGACACACGCCCCUGCCAGUCGCGGCAGAUAAAAUUAAAUAGAGGGUCAUCCUUGUAUCUUCAGAGCGCUUGCUUAUUACCAUAAUAGUAAGUAAUGGGCAUUUGAGCCCUUUCUCUGUGUUCACAUGCUCUUAACCCUCAGAGCUCUGGCAUAGGAGGCAUCAUUUUCCUCAGUUUCAGGGAGGGUACCAAGGUCUGAAUUUGAACCAGACUUAUUUUAAAAUCUUUCCAUAGUCUAGGAAAACAGUUAUGGGCACGGAGGCUAAGCGAUCAAGACUAUUAGGAGUUGUUUAUAAUUACAGGAAAUCUAAGAUUAUGGAAUCAGUUUUUAGGAUAAAAGGAGUUAGAAAUGGGUGCAGUGUAGGGGUUUGGAAGCACAGAUGAAAAUCUUGUCGUUUGGGUCAGACUCUGAUUCUGCUCAUAAUGGGCUACUACGAACUACUCACUUCCCCAGACU